Molecule: non-coding RNA, 499 nt
Organism: Homo sapiens (human)
Lineage: Eukaryota; Metazoa; Chordata; Mammalia; Primates; Hominidae
Source: RefSeq, a predicted model, not a curated record
GGUCAGAGUGGCCGGAGCCUAUCCCAGCAGCUCAGCGAGCAAGGCAGAAACCCACCCUGGACAGGAUGCCAUCCCAUGGAAUAUCUAGAGAGCUGGAAAAGCAUCACUUCUGGGUGUGUCUGUGAGGGGGUUUCCAGAGGAGAUUGGCAUGAGUCAGUGAACUGUGUGGAGCAGAUUUGCCCUCAAUGUCAGCAGGCAUCAUCCAAUCAGCUGGGAGCCUGGAUAGAACAGAAGACAGAGAAAAGGUUGACAUAAAUGUGUCCAGAAGCAGGACCUGAAGCAAGAGCACUUUUAGAAGGAAUCUGCGAUUCUUGGAACUGGUGUGCAGUAUUCACUUGAGAUCUCUGAGCUCGCCACGUGCAUGCCUUGUCUUUUCUGACCUGGUGAAUCUUCUCUUAGGCUGAGUCUCUUUUUGGUAGAGGCUUUUUGACUUUCUUCAGGAUUUGGUUUGGUACUAAGGCAGCCUUAAAUAAAGGAACUUGCAUCCCUCUUAAAACUA